This 135-nucleotide ribosomal RNA is filed under the name Ganoderma enigmaticum. RNAcentral describes it as "partial 28S ribosomal RNA". It matches the Rfam family "Eukaryotic large subunit ribosomal RNA", at positions 9 to 142 of the family's 3401-position model. The record is from RNAcentral. Lineage: Eukaryota; Fungi; Basidiomycota; Agaricomycetes; Polyporales; Polyporaceae.
AAUCAGGUAGGACUACCCGCUGAACUUAAGCAUAUCAAUAAGCGGAGGAAAAGAAACUAACAAGGAUUCCCCUAGUAACUGCGAGUGAAGCGGGAAAAGCUCAAAUUUAAAAUCUGGCGGUCUUUGGCCGUCCGA